AUUGAACGCUGGCGGCAUGCUUUACACAUGCAAGUCGAACGGCAGCACGGACUUCGGUCUGGUGGCGAGUGGCGAACGGGUGAGUAAUACAUCGGAACGUACCCAGUAAUGGGGGAUAACUAUCCGAAAGGAUAGCUAAUACCGCAUACGCCCUACGGGGGAAAGAGGGGGAUCGCAAGACCUCUUGUUAUUGGAGCGGCCGAUGGCUGAUUAGCUAGUUGGUGAGGUAAAGGCUCACCAAGGCGACGAUCAGUAGCGGGUCUUAGAGGACGAUCCGCCACACUGGAACUGAGAAACGGUCCAGACUCCUACGGGAGGCAGCAGUGGGGAAUCUUGGACAAUGGGCGCAAGCCUGAUCCAGCAAUGCCGCGUGCGUGAAGAAGGCCUUCGGGUUGUAAAGCGCUUUUGUCAGGGAGCAAAUCCUUGUGGCUAAUACCCACCGGGGAUGAGAGAACCUGAAGAAUAAGGACCGGCUAACUACGUGCCAGCCGCCGCGGUAA
RNAcentral lists this ribosomal RNA (500 nucleotides) under uncultured bacterium. RNAcentral's name for it is "partial 16S ribosomal RNA". It matches the Rfam family "Bacterial small subunit ribosomal RNA", at positions 30 to 523 of the family's 1533-position model. The record is from RNAcentral.